CCUACGGGGGGCAGCAGUGAGGAAUAUUGGUCAAUGGACGAGAGUCUGAACCAGCCAAGUAGCGUGAAGGAUGACUGCCCUAUGGGUUGUAAACUUCUUUUAUAAAGGAAUAAAACGAGGCACGUGUGCCUUUUUGCAUGUACUUUAUGAAUAAGGAUCGGCUAACUCCGUGCCAGCAGCCGCGGUAAUACGGAGGAUCCGAGCGUUAUCCGGAUUUAUUGGGUUUAAAGGGAGCGUAGAUGGGUUGUUAAGUCAGUUGUGAAAGUUUGCGGCUCAACCGUAAAAUUGCAAUUGAUACUGGCAGUCUUGAGUACAGUUGAGGUAGGCAGAAUUCGUGGUGUAGCGGUGAAAUGCUUAGAGAUCACGAAGAACCCCGAUGGCGAAGGCAGCUUACUAAACUGUGACUGACAUUGAUGCUCGAAAGUGUGGGUAGCAAACAGGAUUAGAUACCCGUGUAGUC
This 460-nucleotide ribosomal RNA is filed under the name uncultured bacterium. Its description in RNAcentral is "partial 16S ribosomal RNA". It matches the Rfam family "Bacterial small subunit ribosomal RNA", at positions 338 to 795 of the family's 1533-position model. The record is from RNAcentral.